Molecule: long non-coding RNA, 487 nt
Filed under: Calidris pugnax (ruff)
Lineage: Eukaryota; Metazoa; Chordata; Aves; Charadriiformes; Scolopacidae
Description: lncRNA (ENSCPUG00000013283.1)
Source: RNAcentral
ACUGGGAUUUUCUGAAGCACCCAAGGGUAUCUUUUCCCUUGUGUUUUAGACAUCAAGGAAGCUGUCUAUAUUCUUAAGGACCUGAAGAACUCUGACAAUCUGAAGAAUUUUGAAUUCAGGUAAGACUCAAAGUUGCAGAGUUAAAAUGUGUGAGAUCACACCUUUUUCAAGGUGGCAGAAGUCUAUUAUUGUUGAGACAGCAGGAACAAUGGGCUAAACUUCUCAGAGCUACAUCUUGUCAAAGACACAUCCCAGCAUGAUUUUUGAAGUAAAAAGACACAUCCCAGGACAAUUUGAGAAAUGAUUUUCUCUUCAGAAGGAAGAAUUUAUCUGUCACAUAAACUGUAAAUGCACUGUAUUAACACAGAGAUCAUGAAGACAGAAGAACUUGAUGUUUAUCCAUGUUUCCCCAAUUAUAGCAUAUUUUUUGAGUUGAGAAACAAGAGACCAGUAUGAUUAUCUGGGCCUCAGAGAGAAUUGUGGCAGG